GACGAACGCUGGCGGCAUGCCUAACACAUGCAAGUCGAACGGGACCUUCGUGUCUAUGUGCGCACCUCGACUUAAGGCGGGGUGACCUACCCUUAGGUUCCGUGUAACUGCCCGUAGGGUAUGCUAAUACCAGUUAAUGUCUUCGGGGCAAAGAUUUAUUGCUGUUGGAUGGGCGGUUGUUGGAUUCGCUGGUUGGGAGGGUACAAGCCGACUAAGGCGAGGAUAGAUAGCUGGUCGGAGAGGAUGAUCAGCCACACUGGGACUGAGACACGGCCCAGAUACCGAAGGGAGGCAGGAGUGGGGAAUAUUGGACAGUGGGAGAAAGACUGAUCAAGCAAUGCCGCGUGAGGGAUGAAGGCGUGAGGGUUGUAAAGCUCUUUUACCAGGGAUGAUAAUGACAGUACCGGGAGAAUGAGCUACGGCUAACUCCGUG
This 433-nucleotide ribosomal RNA is filed under the name uncultured bacterium. RNAcentral describes it as "partial 16S ribosomal RNA". It matches the Rfam family "Bacterial small subunit ribosomal RNA", at positions 28 to 507 of the family's 1533-position model. The record is from RNAcentral.